AGACAGGGUGCUGCAUGGCUGUCGUCAGCUCGUGUCGUGAGAUGUUGGGCUAAGUCCCGCAACGAGCGCAACCCUCGCCUUUAGUUGCCAGCAUUUAGUUGGGCACUCUAAAGGGACUGCCGGUGUUAAACCGGAGGAAGGUGGGGGAUGACGUCAAGUCCUCAUGGCCUUUAUGCCUAGGGCUACACACGUGCUACAAUGGGCGGUACAAAGGGUUGCAAUCCCGCGAGGGGGAGCCAAUCCCAAAAAGCCGUUCUCAGUUCGGAUUGGAGUCUGCAACUCGACUCCAUGAAGUUGGAAUCGCUAGUAAUCGUGGAUCAGCAUGCCACGGUGAAUACGUUCCCGGGCCUU
RNAcentral lists this ribosomal RNA (351 nucleotides) under uncultured Desulfobulbaceae bacterium. Its description in RNAcentral is "bacterial SSU rRNA". It matches the Rfam family "Bacterial small subunit ribosomal RNA", at positions 1032 to 1382 of the family's 1533-position model. The record is from RNAcentral. Lineage: Bacteria; Pseudomonadati; Thermodesulfobacteriota; Desulfobulbia; Desulfobulbales; Desulfobulbaceae.